RNAcentral lists this transfer RNA (72 nucleotides) under Candidatus Shikimatogenerans bostrichidophilus. Its description in RNAcentral is "tRNA-Trp". It matches the Rfam family "tRNA". Rfam says of the family: Transfer RNA (tRNA) molecules are approximately 80 nucleotides in length. The record is from RNAcentral. Lineage: Bacteria; Pseudomonadati; Bacteroidota; Flavobacteriia; Flavobacteriales.
ACGGAUGUAGCUCAAUGGUAGAGUUUCGAUCUCCAAAAUCGAAGGUUAUAAGUUCGAAUCUUAUCAUCCGUG